GAGCCAGGAGCCCCAGUGCCCUUUCCUCCUCCCACCGCGCACCAAAACAUGGGGUCCAAGAUCUUCUGUUGUUGCCGCAAGACCAGCGAGGGGUCUUCCACCACUGUUGGCUUCCACAAUCCAAGAAUGUUCGAACAGCAUCAUCCACGGUCCUUCAUGCUGUACCAAAAAGACAUCCACGCCUCCCCUAUGACAACCGCAUGAUGCUCAAGGCGUGCAUCCUUAGGAGGCCAUGAGCAUUCUAGCCGGCGGCACCCACGUGGUCCCUGCGGCUGCACAGCUGCUGGGCUUCCAUGAGGAAGAGGGCAGUGGACAAGAGUCAUGAAGACUGAUUCAGAAACUCCCCUGCAGGAGGAGAAGACGUCUGAGCCAUCCCUGUGCCACCACCAAGAGUCACUCCAGCUUCUGAAAAAGCCACCGUGGGGGGGAGCCGCCUCCAAUUAAAGUCCUUGGUCACAUCAGAGGAAGUGUCUCUCCUCCUUCCCCCUUUGCCAGCCCUACCUCUGAGAUUCCCAAAAACAUGGAGCAAUUAGACCCUGGCACCUCUUGGAAAGAAAUGUGGUUUUGUCAUUUUAACGCAUUAACACAUUUGUUUCAGUCACUCCUAACCAACCUAACAGGGAAGUGCUAUAUUAGGAGAGGCCAGUUUGUAUAACAGGCCACUGUCAUAAACGUCCAGAGCUUCAGGGCACAAUUCUGCUUGCCUACUGUGCGACUCCAUUUGACGCUCAGGGCCAUAGGGAACAGCAGGGCAUGUUGUGAAAAACUCUACAAACAGCAGCCCUAGAGUUAUGCAAUGCGUAGCCAGUGCUGAUACGCAGCACCGCUUGUGCUGAAACACGGAGUAUGCAACUGUGAGUAAUAUGCAGAAGACCCCACAUGGUUUCCACAUUAGCCAGGGAGCCAGGCAUGGAAGUGUAUCACUCUGACAUAAUAGGGCAAAAACUUGGAAAGCAAAAUGACAAAGGAGCAUUUUGCAACUGACUCGGGGAUUAAUGGAAGGCUUCCUGGAGGCGAUGGUGCUUGAAGGGAAGUUAGCUAAAAGGAGAAGGGAUGAUAUUCCAGAAGGAGGGAAUACAAUCAGCAAAGUUGGAAAAUAGGGGCACGACCUGGGAGGGCAUGAGGGUAGCAAAGUACCAAGUCUAGAAUGACUCAAGUGAAAACCUGAGCCAGGGUUUGGUGGGAGGUGAAGUGGGCAGAGCAUCAAGAGCUUUGUAUCCAGGGAAAAGGAGCUGAACUCUAUCUUGAAAAUAAUGGGAAGCCACAGGUGAGUUUUAAGCAACAAAGUGACACAGCCUGAUUUCCAACUUUUGUACUAUGAACAGUGCCUUAGUCUGUUCAGACUACUAAAAUAAGAUACCAUAACCGGGUGACUUACAAACAACAGAAGUUUAUUUCUCACAGUUUUGGAGGCUGGGAAGUCCAAGAUCAAAACUCCAGCAGCAUCAGUGUCUGGUGAGGGCCUGUUCCUCAUAGAGGGCGCUUCUUGCUGUGUUCUCACAUAGCAGAAGGGGCAAGGGGUCUCUCUCAGGCUCUUUCAUAAGGGCACUAAUCUCAAUCGUGAGGGCUCUGCUCUCAUGACCUAAUCCUCCUAAACCUCCCAAAGACCACAAUUCUUAUACCAUCACCUUGGGAGUUAAGAUUUCAACACAUGAAUUUGGGGGAACAUUAACAUUCAGACCAUAACAAACAAGGCGAGUUGGAAGACAACACUUUUUUUGUUUGUUUGUCUGUUUGUCUGAGACGGAGUCUUGCUCUGUCACCCAGCCUGGAGGGCAGUGGCAUGAUCUUGGCUGGCUGCAACCUCCACCUCCCAGGUUCAAGGAUUCUCCUGCCUCAGCCUCCCAAGUAGCUACAGGAAAGUGCCACCACACCCAGCUAAUUUUUUUUUUUAAUUUUUUUUUUGAGACGGAGUUUCUCUUUCGUUGCCCAGGCUGGAGUGCAAUGGCACACUUUCGGCUCACAGCAACCUCUGCCUCCCGGGUUCAAGCGAUUCUCCUGCCUCAGCCUCCUGAGUAGCUGGGAUUACAGGCACCCUCCACCAUGCCUGGCUAAUUUUGUAUUUUUAGUAGAGACAGGGUUUCUCCAUGUUGAUCAGGCUGGUCUCCAACUCCUGACCUCAGGUGAUCCGCCCGCCUCAGCCUCCCAAAACGCUGGGAUUACAGGCGUGAGCUACCGCGCCCGGCCUAAUUUUUGUAUUUUUAGUAGAGACGGGGUUUUGCCAUUUUGUUCAGGCUGGUCUUAAACUCCUGACCUCAGGUGAUCCGCCCAUCUCAACCUCCCAAAGUCCUGGGAUUACAGGCGUGAGCCACUACACCCGGCCAGAAGACAAUUUAUUAAUUAGCACUCCUUAUGCCUUCCCCACCUCAGAAAAGAGAAGAAUAAAGGAAUAUGAUGUCUAUGCCAUGGCAAUGUGGAGUAAAAUUCAUACCUUCAAUGAAAAGCCCAUCCUGGCUAUAAUGUGAAGGAUGGAUUUUGUUUUGUUUUGUUUUGUUUUUUGAGACGGAGUCUC
RNAcentral lists this long non-coding RNA (2512 nucleotides) under Homo sapiens (human). RNAcentral's name for it is "HSALNT0354506". Lineage: Eukaryota; Metazoa; Chordata; Mammalia; Primates; Hominidae. The record is from RNAcentral.